This 1275-nucleotide unclassified non-coding RNA is filed under the name Eurytemora carolleeae. RNAcentral describes it as "rho guanine nucleotide exchange factor 25". The record is from RNAcentral. Lineage: Eukaryota; Metazoa; Arthropoda; Copepoda; Calanoida; Temoridae.
CCGGAUAUAUGUAUAGUUUGAUAACACAGGAAAAUAUGUUCAAUUGUUAUUCGGAAAUAAAAAGAUGAGUUCUCGAGCUAGUUAUGAAUCUAAUACAAGCCUUACCAGGACGCAUAGAAGGCCCAAUGUUGAUUCUCUAGGGGAAGAGAUUGAGCGAAUUUCUUCAGUAGAAGUUGAGGGAGUUGAGAGGAUUGAGGAGGUGGAUAGAAGCCGACACUCAGCAUAUCAUAUUCUUAGGAAAAAUGUCCGAAGAGCCACAAGCACAAUCCGUAGUAUGGUUAGCGAUAGAGGAUCAACUGAUGAUGAUCUAGAUAAUAAUAUGUUUUUGCAACAAGAAUUAACUGAAGAGGAGGUGCGGAAAAGACAGGAAGCCUUUGAAGCGAUGAGCAGAAAAUUAAAUGAAUUUAUGGACUUAGAGAAAAAGCAUUUAGAGCAUCUUGAGAAAAUUGUAGAGUUUCUAUCAGCUGUGGAAUUAGCUAAAGAUGACAAGUUUAUUGUCACAAUGCCGAAAGAUCUAAAGACAAGAUACAAAAUUGUGUUUGGCAACAUCAUCUCUAUUCGGGACUUCCAUAAGAACGGGUUUACUCAGAGCCUGGUGAGUGCCCUGGGGAAUCCUGUAGAGUUGACCCAUCUUUUCAAGAAGAGACAACAGAGGAUAAAGGAAUUAUAUUCUAAAUAUUACAUAAACAAACCAAGAUCUGAUUAUGUUCUAAACGAAUUCAGUGACUUUUUUCAGGAAAUGGAGCAGGUUCAACAGUUUGAGAGUAUUGGGUUCAGAUAUGACUCCGAGCUUACAGUUCCAGUACAACAUUUACAAAGAUAUCCAAUUCUUCUGGAAGGUUUGAUCUCUUCAAGUAAACAAGCAGGAGAACUGGAGUACAUGGAGUACUUUACUCAAGUAUACAAGAUAUGUCAUGAUAUAAGUAUUACAGCGAAUAGUAUGAUGGAAGCAGGAAGAAUUCAGAACCUGGAGUUCGAUAUUACAUCACAGGGAACUUUAGUACACAGAGGAACUGUUCGGUGUAAAGAAAACGGGAAGAAGAAAACAUUUCCGGAGAUAUUCAAGAAGAAUAAAGACAGUUCUUUUGAUGCCCACGUCUUCUUUUUCGAUCAGUGUAUUAUUAUUACAGAGUUUACACCAAGGUGAAUAUAUUAUGUACAGGGUGGUACAGCAGCAGAGUUUACACCAAGAAAAGUAUCUACAUCAGAAGAUGAAUAUAAAUUUCUCCGAAGAUUUAAUACAAACCAUCUCACGGUAAAAGAUGAAGGAAAGAG